RNAcentral lists this transfer RNA (73 nucleotides) under Gemmatimonadales bacterium. Its description in RNAcentral is "tRNA-Glu". It matches the Rfam family "tRNA". From Rfam's summary of the family: Transfer RNA (tRNA) molecules are approximately 80 nucleotides in length. Their secondary structure includes four short double-helical elements and three loops (D, anti-codon, and T loops). The record is from RNAcentral. Lineage: Bacteria; Pseudomonadati; Gemmatimonadota; Gemmatimonadia; Gemmatimonadales. RNAcentral also lists the same sequence under 2 other names.
GGCCCCGUGGUCUAGCGGUAAAGAUUCCGGCUUUUCAAGCCGUGAGACGCCGGUUCGAGUCCGGUCGGGGCUA